This 219-nucleotide unclassified non-coding RNA is filed under the name soil metagenome. RNAcentral describes it as "partial contains 5.8S ribosomal RNA, internal transcribed spacer 2, and large subunit ribosomal RNA". The record is from RNAcentral.
AACAUCGCGCACCUGCGGGAACCUGCGGAGGGAUCAUUACAGAGUGUAAAAACUCCCAAAACCCAUGUGAACAUACCUUUUUGUUGCUUCGGCGGGAUCGCCCCGGGCGCCUUGUGUGCCCCGGAGUCAGGCGCCCGCCGGGGGACCCAAACUCUUGUUUUUAACGAGUAUCUUCUGAGUAACGUUUUUAAAUAAAUAAAAACUUUCAGCAACGGAUCU